RNAcentral lists this unclassified non-coding RNA (20 nucleotides) under Mus musculus (house mouse). Its description in RNAcentral is "oocyte_clustered_small_RNA11935". Lineage: Eukaryota; Metazoa; Chordata; Mammalia; Rodentia; Muridae. The record is from RNAcentral.
GCGGAGCUAUCUGACAGAUG